RNAcentral lists this ribosomal RNA (202 nucleotides) under Salmonella enterica subsp. enterica serovar Kentucky. Its description in RNAcentral is "partial 23S ribosomal RNA". It matches the Rfam family "Bacterial large subunit ribosomal RNA", at positions 707 to 908 of the family's 2925-position model. Lineage: Bacteria; Pseudomonadati; Pseudomonadota; Gammaproteobacteria; Enterobacterales; Enterobacteriaceae. The record is from RNAcentral.
GUAUAGACCCGAAACCCGGUGAUCUAGCCAUGGGCAGGUUGAAGGUUGGGUAACACUAACUGGAGGACCGAACCGACUAAUGUUGAAAAAUUAGCGGAUGACCUGUGGCUGGGGGUGAAAGGCCAAUCAAACCGGGAGAUAGCUGGUUCUCCCCGAAAGCUAUUUAGGUAGCGCCUCGUGAAUUCAUCUCCGGGGGUAGAGC